UAAAUAGAGGACAUCAAUCAGAGUAAAUAGGGAAGAGAAUUUCUUAGCAACGAUGAUAGGCAGCUAACGCGGAGGGGGACCGAGGGAUUCGCCGGCAUAAGCGACCAACCAGAUAUUGUUAAAGGCACCCUCUAUAUCCAGAAAAGUCCCCACCGCAUAGCCACCCUCCAUGAGAUCUCUCUCAAUUUGGGAGACCAGAGAGUGGAGCGCCGUUUCGGUAGAGAAGCCCCUUCUUAAGCAUGUUGGUUUCCAUGUAGCAAAUACCGCCCGAGAACAACAUCUCACAGAUAAAUCUCAACCAGCUUCUCUAACGUUUUCAAAAGAAAUGAGGUUAGUUUGAUCGGACUGAAGUCCUUGGCAGAGGUGCAGCAGCUCCUGCCGACUUUGGGUAUGAAUACUACCUUCGCCAGCCUCCAUGCCUUGGAGGUGUAUCCCAAAGCAAGACAAGCUCUCAAAGUCCGCGUGAGCAGCCCGCUAAUCUGCACGAGCCCCUCUUGUAGGAGCGUCAAAAAAUUUCCAUCUGGUCCAGCGGACUUGAAUGGUUUGAAAGUUUUGAUGAUCCACUUUACCAUCUCGGGUUUUACAAUGCUGGCCGCCAGUUCCCAGUCACACCCGUGUGUCCUUAGUCUGGGCUCCACGGUCUAAGCGUCAGGAUCGACAUCAAGUUCCCUCCUGAAGCCCGAAAAAUUGAUCUCCAAAAGAUGAACCAGACAUCGUUCACCGGAAAGCACGUCCCCAUCCGGGAGGCGUAUCGCCUGCAGGUUUGAGUCCGGGUUUCUUGCCAGAAUUCUGCAGAGCCUGGAGGCCUCCGGAACCUCCUCUAUAGAUUCAUAGAACCUCCUCCAGCUUUUUCUCUUGGCGGCUACUACAGAGUCCCUAUAUGUUUUCUAGGCCCUCCGAUAGAGGUCCCAGUCGAGUGUAGACAGGGAAUAUAUAUUCGCAAUUUUGUGGAAAAGAGUGAAUAUCGGGCCAACUCAAUCAUUAAUUAUGCUCGAUUUACCAGUCUUGUAAUUAAUAUUUAAUUAAGCGAGUUGCGAGGAGAACGAAAUCAUCGAAUUUCGUGGAAAAGCGGCUGAUUAGCAUCGAGGCAGUAAUCGGAUACGAAUAACAGAGUACGGACAAAGAAAACUACGCAGCAGUGUCGAAUUACAUCAAACCAUCGGUCAUCUUGCUGACGCAUCACGAGCAAAAGGAAGCCGACACAGUGGCUUGGGUAAUAAAUUCCUUGUUCAUUGAUGGUCAAACGAACUGGCGAUUAAUUUAAGCAGACCGCUUCAAAAACGAUACAAUGCGCGGACAACGCAAUCGAGGCCACGAUCGCCGUGAAAGAGCGCGGCGGAUAGUCGUGCGCGUGAAAAUAAAUAUAAGCGCUAUGUGGUUCGUGUGCGCGAGUUGCGCUAUAGCGCGGACAACGGAGCCGUGAUUAUAAUUGAGCUCAAGAAUCAAUAAUCAGUAAACAGCGGUGGUUUGACGUAAGAUAGAUUAAAUGGGGGCGAGCAUUCUCGCCGUACAAGAAAUGUUUAUAGAUAUAAAAGAAACAAGCAGCGGUUAUUUAGCGCGUGCUGCGAUAACAUGAACGGCGGUGCCAUAUAUGCAGCGGGUACAGGACAUCGGUAGAAAGUGACGCGUCGCAUAUUUCCAGAUGUUUGGUGAGAAACGUCUAUGCGCGGAAUUAGGACAGUCAGCGGAGUCAAGAAUACUCGGUUAACUCGCUAUCCCUUUGUCCAGCGGCUGGGAUGAUCGAAUAUUAUGACCGUAAUGCUCGAGAAUUUUUUAGAAGAGCGGAGCGGCAAACUCUCCGCUUUCGUUCGAUAUGGCGGGAUUACAAGAAUUUGCAGUCAAAACGGAUGUCGAGAAUGUUUGACGGAGAGUCGAGCGGAUGUCGAGAAUGCUUGUUAACCUCCUUUUUCCUUCUUUUUUCCGUUCUAUUUGAAUGAUAGGAUCGAUUCCUGUAUUUAUUCUCGUACGUACUGCUCGAGCGGAGUCAGAUACUGUUCUGGUGCUGAGAUGAAAUCUAUCAGCCUUUUUGUAUCCAAUAAUUAAUGGUAUUCGUGUCAUUUAUUUUUCGGUGAUGAGAGAACGGCGCGAGAUUUCGGCGUGCAGCACUCGGCGCCGUUCAGAUUUUGGCACGAGCUAUAUCGGUAAUCAUAUAACGGCCGUAAGGUAAAAGUACCCAUUGCCGGACAUGUUCCUAUAUCCGGACAUUUACAUGAAAAUUUAUCAUUAUUAACUUCAAAUGAAUUUUUAUUAUAAUAUCAAAAUUUUAUCUCAAAUUUUUAAUUUAAAGAUAUUUAUAUAGUAAAACAUUUAUUAAAUAUUAUAAAAAUUGACGUC
Cataglyphis hispanica is the source of this 2334-nucleotide long non-coding RNA. RefSeq lists it as uncharacterized. The transcript is spliced from 3 exons. The record is from RefSeq and is a predicted model, not a curated record. NCBI's taxonomy places the organism in Eukaryota, Metazoa, Arthropoda, Insecta, Hymenoptera, Formicidae.